GACAGCAGUCGCCGCGGUAAUACGGAGGGUGCAAGCGUUAAUCGGAAUUACUGGGCGUAAAGGGCGCGUAGGUGGUUAUUUAAGUGAGAUGUGAGAGCCCCGGGCUUAACCUGGGAACUGCAUCUUAUACUGGGUAACUGGAGUGCAGUAGAGGGUAGUGGAAUUUCCGGUGUAGCGGUGAAAUGCGUAGAUAUCGGAAGGAACACCAGUGGCGAAGGCGGCUACCUGGACUGAGACUGACACUGAGGCGCGAGAGCGUGGGGAGCAAACAGGAUUAGAUACCCGAGUAGUCCCUGUCUCUUAUAC
Molecule: ribosomal RNA, 306 nt
Filed under: uncultured bacterium
Lineage: Bacteria
Description: partial 16S ribosomal RNA
Rfam family: Bacterial small subunit ribosomal RNA
Source: RNAcentral